Molecule: ribosomal RNA, 120 nt
Organism: Pteropus vampyrus (large flying fox)
Lineage: Eukaryota; Metazoa; Chordata; Mammalia; Chiroptera; Pteropodidae
Source: Ensembl
GUCUAUGGCCAUGCCAUCCUGAACAAGCCCGAUCUGGUCUAAUCUCAGAAGCUAAGCAAGAGUUGGGCCUGGUUAGUAUUUGGAUGGGAGAUCACCUACGAAGAUCAGGUGCUGUAGGUG